GAUGAACGCUGGCGGCGUGCCUAAUACAUGCAAGUCGAGCGAAUGACGAGGAGCUUGCUCCUCUGAUUUAGCGGCGGACGGGUGAGUAACACGUGGGUAACCUGCCUGUAAGACGGGGAUAACUUCGGGAAACCGAAGCUAAUACCGGAUAAUAAAAAGAAACUCCUGUUUCUUUUUUGAAAGUCGGUUUCGGCUGACGCUUACAGAUGGGCCCGCGGCGCAUUAGCUAGUUGGUGAGGUAACGGCUCACCAAGGCCACGAUGCGUAGCCGACCUGAGAGGGUGAUCGGCCACACUGGGACGGAGACACGGCCCAGACUCCUACGGGAGGCAGCAGUAGGGAAUCUUCGGCAAUGGACGAAAGUCUGACCGAGCAACGCCGCGUGAGCGAUGAAGGCUUUCGGGUCGUAAAACUCUGUUGUUAGGGAAGAACAAGUGCUAGUUGAAUAAGCUGGCACCUUGACGGUACCUAACCAGAAAGCCACGGCUAACUACGUGCCAGCAGCCGCAGUAAAAC
RNAcentral lists this ribosomal RNA (516 nucleotides) under uncultured bacterium. RNAcentral's name for it is "bacterial SSU rRNA". It matches the Rfam family "Bacterial small subunit ribosomal RNA", at positions 28 to 526 of the family's 1533-position model. The record is from RNAcentral.